This 74-nucleotide transfer RNA is filed under the name Candidatus Portnoybacteria bacterium RBG_13_40_8. RNAcentral describes it as "tRNA-Lys". It matches the Rfam family "tRNA". From Rfam's summary of the family: Transfer RNA (tRNA) molecules are approximately 80 nucleotides in length. Their secondary structure includes four short double-helical elements and three loops (D, anti-codon, and T loops). The record is from RNAcentral. RNAcentral also lists the same sequence under 1 other name. Lineage: Bacteria; Candidatus Portnoyibacteriota.
GCGCCGGUAGCUCAGCUAGGCAGAGCAGCUCGCUCUUAACGAGACGGUCGGGGGUUCGAUUCCCUCCCGGCGUA